This 75-nucleotide transfer RNA is filed under the name Acinetobacter baumannii. RNAcentral's name for it is "tRNA-Asn". It matches the Rfam family "tRNA". From Rfam's summary of the family: Transfer RNA (tRNA) molecules are approximately 80 nucleotides in length. Lineage: Bacteria; Pseudomonadati; Pseudomonadota; Gammaproteobacteria; Moraxellales; Moraxellaceae. The record is from RNAcentral.
UCCGCAGUAGCUCAGCGGUAGAGCUAUCGGCUGUUAACCGAUCGGUCGUAGGUUCGAGUCCUACCUGUGGAGCCA